AGUGAACGCUGGCGGUAGGCCUAACACAUGCAAGUCGAACGGCAGCACAGUAAGAGCUUGCUCUUACGGGUGGCGAGUGGCGGACGGGUGAGGAAUACAUCGGAAUCUACUUUUUCGUUGGGGAUAACGUAGGGAAACUUACGCUAAUACCGCAUACGACCUACGGGUGAAAGCAGGGGAUCUUCGUACCUUGCGCGAUUGAAUGAGCCGAUGUCGGAUUAGCUAGUUGGCGGGGUAAAGACCCCCAAGGCGACGAUCCGUAGCUGGUCUGAGAGGAUGAUCAGCCACACUGGAACUGAGACACGGUCCAGACUCCUACGGGAGGCAGCAGUGGGGAAUAUUGGGCAAUGGGCGCAAGCCUGAUCCAGCCAUACCGCGUGGGUGAAGAAGGCCUUCGGGUUGUAAAGCCCUUUUGUUGGGAAAGAAAAGCAGCAGGUUAAUACCCCGCUGUUCUGACGGUACCCAAAGAAUAAGCACCGGCUAACUUCGUG
This 491-nucleotide ribosomal RNA is filed under the name uncultured bacterium. Its description in RNAcentral is "partial 16S ribosomal RNA". It matches the Rfam family "Bacterial small subunit ribosomal RNA", at positions 29 to 507 of the family's 1533-position model. The record is from RNAcentral.